RNAcentral lists this ribosomal RNA (484 nucleotides) under uncultured bacterium. RNAcentral describes it as "partial 16S ribosomal RNA". It matches the Rfam family "Bacterial small subunit ribosomal RNA", at positions 28 to 507 of the family's 1533-position model. The record is from RNAcentral.
AUCGAACGCUGGCGGCAUGCUUUACACAUGCAAGUCGAACGGCAGCGCGGGCUUCGGCCUGGCGGCGCGUGGCGAACGGGUGAGUAAUGCAUCGGAACGUGCCCAGUAGUGGGGGAUAGCCCGGCGAAAGCCGGAUUAAUACCGCAUACGACCUGCGGGUGCAAGCGGGGGACCGAAAGGCCUCGCGCUAUUGGAGCGGCCGAUGUCGGAUUAGCUAGCUGGUGGGGUAAAGGCUUACCAAGGCGACGAUCCGUAGCUGGUCUGAGAGGACGACCAGCCACACUGGGACUGAGACACGGCCCAGACUCCUACGGGAGGCAGCAGUGGGGAAUUUUGGACAAUGGGGGCAACCCUGAUCCAGCCAUGCCGCGUGCGGGAAGAAGGCCUUCGGGUUGUAAACCGCUUUUGUUCGGGAAGAAAUCCUCUGGGCUAAUACCCCGGGGGGAUGACGGUACCGGAAGAAUAAGCACCGGCUAACUACGUG